UGAGUGACAUCACUUGGUGGUGAAAGACCCCCAGGGGAGAUCUUCCCUCAGGGAGAGACCCCGGACCCGGGAAACACACCGAAACCACAGAUCAGAUGCAAACAGCAAGAGGCUUUAUUAAAUGCACAGGUACCUGGGGCCAAGUCUCUCAGAAGACUUGCGCGCCUACCGAGGGCAAAGGGGACUUUUUAUGGGAU
Molecule: non-coding RNA, 197 nt
Organism: Peromyscus maniculatus bairdii (prairie deer mouse)
Lineage: Eukaryota; Metazoa; Chordata; Mammalia; Rodentia; Cricetidae
Source: RefSeq, a predicted model, not a curated record